Molecule: small RNA, 19 nt
Filed under: Arabidopsis thaliana (thale cress)
Lineage: Eukaryota; Viridiplantae; Streptophyta; Magnoliopsida; Brassicales; Brassicaceae
Description: ATSL071160
Source: RNAcentral
AAAAAAAAAGGAAAAAAAA